GUAAGGCUAAAUACUCCCGAGAGACCGAUAGCGAACCAGUACCGUGAGGGAAAGGUGAAAAGCACUUCGAACAGAAGAGUGAAAUAGUUCCUGAAACCGUGCGCCUACAAGCGGUCGGAGCUCGUUAAUGAGUGACGGCGUGCCUUUUGCAUAAUGAACCUACGAGUUGCCUUUGCCGGCAAGGUUAAGUGUGACGACACACGUAUCCGAAGCGAAAGCGAGUCUGAAUAGGGCGUAUAGUCGGCAGUGGCAGACGCGAAACCAAGUGAUCUACCCUUGGCCAGGUUGAAGGCUGGGUAACACCAGCUGGAGGACCGCACCAAUAAGCGUUGAAAAGCUUCUGGAUGAGCUGAGGGUAGGGGUGAAAGGCUAAUCAAACUUGGAGAUAGCUCGUACUCCCCGAAAUGCAUUUAGGUGCAGCCUUGCGGGUUACUGAUGUGAGGUAGAGCGACUGAUAAGAUGCGAGGGCUUCACCGCCUAUCAAGUCUUGACAAACUCCGAAUGCGCAUCAGUUCUACCGUAGGAGUGAGGGCAUGGGUGCUAAGGUCCGUGCCCGAGAGGAGAAGAAUCCGGACCACCUGCUAAGGUCCCGAAAUGACAGCUAAGUUAAACUAACGAAGUCUGACUGCUAAGACAGCUAGGAUGUUGGCUUGGAAGCAGCCAUUCAUUUAAAGAGUGCGUAACAGCUCACUAGUCGAGGAGUCGGGCGUGGAUAAUAAUCGGGUAUUAAGUUGUCUACCGAAGCAGUGGGAUCAUUUAUAUGAUCGGUAGGGGAGCAUUCCAGUCAGCGUCGAAGGCGUACCGUGAGGUAUUCUGGAGCGUCUGGAAAAGCAAAUGUAGGUAUAAGUAACGAUAAAGGGGGCGGGAAACCCCCUCGCCGAAAGACUAAGGUUUCCUGAUCAACGCUAAUCGGAUCAGGGUCAGUCGGGUCCUAAGGCUCAGCCGAACGGCGAUGCCGAUGGCAGAAACGGUUAAUAUUCCGUUACUACCUUCAGGAGUGACGUGGAGACGCAGUAGUGACAGUGCCGCCAUCUGACGGAAUAGAUGGUUGAAGGGUGUAGGAGUCGAUCAUGGCAGGCAAAUCCACCAUGAGAUCCGAACCUGACAGUAUGCCGCGUCCUUCGGGACAAGGCAAUAGUGCGCGUAAGCAUGCUGCCGAGAAAAUCCGCUAAACUUAAUCCUGCAGGUACCCGUACCGCAAACGGACACACGUAGUCGGGAUGAAUAUUCUAAGGCGCUUGAGUGAUUCACGGUUAAGGAACUAGGCAAACUGACCCUGUAACUUCGGGAUAAAGGGUCCCUACCCUUUUAUGGGAGGGCGCAGAGAAUCGGUCCAGGCAACUGUUUAACAAAAACACAGGGCUGUGCCAAAUCGAAAGAUCCAGUAUACAGCCUGACACCUGCCCGGUGCUGGAAGGUUAAGAGGAGAUGUCAUCGAUAAGAGAAGCGUUGAAUUGAAGCCCCAGUAAACGGCGGCCGUAACUAUAACGGUCCUAAGGUAGCGAAAUUCCUUGUCGGGUAAGUUCCGACCUGCACGAAUGGUGUAAUGAUCUGGACGCUGUCUCAACCGUGAGCUCAGUGAAAUUGUAGUAUCGGUGAAGAUGCCGAUUACCCGCGAUGGGACGAAAAGACCCCGUGAACCUUUACUAUAGCUUAUCAUUGAAUCUGGGCACGUGAUGUGUAGGAUAGGUCGGAGGCUUUGAAGCAGGUACGCCAGUAUUUGUGGAGCCGCUGUUGAAAUACGACCCUUUAUUUGUUUGGAUUCUAACCCGUGGAACGGGGACAUUGAUUGGUGGGUAGUUUGACUGGGGUGGUCGCCUCCAAAAGCGUAACGGAGGCUUCUAAAGGUGCCCUCCGGCCGAUUGGUAACCGGCCUUAGAGUGUAAUGGCAUAAGGGCGCUUGACUGGGAGACUAACAAGUCGAUCAGGUAGGAAACUAGAGCAUAGUGAUCCGGUGUUUCCGUAUGGAAGGGACAUCGCUCAAAGGAUAAAAGGUACUCCGGGGAUAACAGGCUGAUCCCUCCCAAGAGCUCAUAUCGACGGAGUGGUUUGGCACCUCGAUGUCGGCUCGUCACAUCCUGGGGCUGGAGAAGGUCCCAAG
RNAcentral lists this ribosomal RNA (2101 nucleotides) under metagenome. Its description in RNAcentral is "bacterial LSU rRNA". It matches the Rfam family "Bacterial large subunit ribosomal RNA", at positions 460 to 2569 of the family's 2925-position model. The record is from RNAcentral.